Long non-coding RNA from Phragmites australis (common reed), 933 nucleotides. RefSeq lists it as uncharacterized. The transcript has 3 exons. Lineage: Eukaryota; Viridiplantae; Streptophyta; Magnoliopsida; Poales; Poaceae. The record is from RefSeq and is a predicted model, not a curated record.
GCCUACCAAUGUUUGAGGAGAAGCAUGCGUGCCGCAGAGUGGCGCGACGAGCGUCCGCUUCUUUACCAAAUAAAAGAAUCUCACCACUCGUGAGUCGUGACUAUUGUGGAGAAGGCGAGUUGGCCUGAGAAAAACCAAGCAGCCAAUCCAGUAAUCCACUUUCCACUCCGAAAAAGAAAUGAGAAAAAAAAGGUUCCGCUUGUGGGCGCGGCGGCGACUCGCCGGCGAUCGCCCGUCGUCUCCCCCUCCUCCGGGCUCCGUCAUUCGUUUCUGCCGCUGCAUGCUUCGUCCGUGUCCGCUCUUCCGCAGUUACACAGUUACGCGAACUGCAUCCUGUGAAUAGACUGGGUUUCUCUCCACCCCGCCCCCAUCUGCAACAUUUGGGCUGCAAAAUGUUCAAAGAAAAUCAAAGUCUUCACUUGGCUCCUUUUCAAAGAUAGGCUCAACAUGAGGAACAUCCUCAAACGGAAAAAUCAUCGGAUUGAAGGCAACAAUUAUAAUAGUGUUCUUUGCAAUCUUUUUCAUGUUGAGGAGAUGGCUUUCCACCUAUUCUUUGAUUUCACCUUUAGCUCUGCCUGUUGGUCGGAGAUUGGGAUCUUCUGGAAUCAGACAACAGACUUCUUCAUGAUAGAGCAGGUAACACAAGGUUUCCAGCAGCCUUUCUUCAGGGAAGUCUUUGCAAUUGUAGCAUGGGAAAUCUGGAAGCUGAGAAAUGCCAAAAUAUUUUAAAAAGAAAGGCCUUCACUUCAAAAAUGGAAGAAUAACUUCUGUGACUAUGUGCACCUUCAGAUGCAUAGAAUGAAAGGCAACGUGUAUUCCCUUCUUUCCCUAUGGAUUAGCUCCUUUGUGAGAAAGGAUGCCCUUAUCUGCUCUUGCCAUACUGCCAGAUCUUGUGGUCCUUGAUUCGUCCCUUAAUAGAACAUAUUGAAAGUU